This is a long non-coding RNA of Oreochromis niloticus (Nile tilapia), 588 nucleotides long. RefSeq lists it as uncharacterized. The record is from RefSeq and is a predicted model, not a curated record. The transcript has 3 exons. Lineage: Eukaryota; Metazoa; Chordata; Actinopteri; Cichliformes; Cichlidae.
CAACCACCCACGCACUGUGGCCUGGAGCAGCACGGCCGCCCUCUCUGCCACCAGCUGAGGAACCAACAGGGUUUUAAAUGCAUUCAGCAUCCCCCUGGCGAAUGCCUGGAUGGUGACGGUGGCCUGUCGGAUCAUGAGGAAUAGCUGCCUGACCACCAUCAUGCGGUGCUCCCUUUAAGAGUCCCCACCGUGGUUCAUCUGCCUCCAUCUCACCCUAUCCCAGCAUCCUCCUCUGUCACACCAACCCUCUGCAUGUCCUCCUUCACUACAUCCCUGCACCUUCUCUGAGGUCUUCCUCUUUUCCUCCUUCACGGCAGCUCCAUCGUCAACAUCCUCUCGCCCUCCUCGGCACAUGUGCAAACCAUCUCAGCUCUCUGACUCUGACUCUCGUGCACGCUGCAUUGCUUUUGAUAGCUGUCUCCAGGUAUUUUCACUCAUCCACCUUCAUUUCCUCUGCUCCCUGCAGCUUCAUUGUUACACCCAUCUCCCUCUAGUGUUUCAAACAUUAACAAGAAUUCUAGAACAUUACUAUUUUUCCUUUAAAAGAAAUGAAGUGGCUUAGCCUGACAUAGCCGUACAUCAUAGUAA